AUGAUGUCAAAUGCAUGCCAUGAUCACGAAGGUGGUUUCCCCAGGGUGAGGCUCCUCCAUUGCACUCCAGUUGUGCUGACCCCUGAGAUUUCCCCAAGUGCGGGAAACUCAACUGCAUAAUUUGUGGUAGUGGGGGAUUGCGUUCGAGGCUUUCCCCCU
This is a small nuclear RNA of 159 nucleotides. Its record names the gene U1. It matches the Rfam family "U1 spliceosomal RNA". From Rfam's summary of the family: U1 is a small nuclear RNA (snRNA) component of the spliceosome (involved in pre-mRNA splicing). The record is from Ensembl.